GGCCUCUUGGUCAAGUGGUUAAGACGCCGCCCUCUCACGGCGGUAACACGGGUUCGAAUCCCGUAGGGGCUA
RNAcentral lists this transfer RNA (72 nucleotides) under Candidatus Fimousia stercorigallinarum. RNAcentral's name for it is "tRNA-Glu". It matches the Rfam family "tRNA". Rfam says of the family: Transfer RNA (tRNA) molecules are approximately 80 nucleotides in length. Their secondary structure includes four short double-helical elements and three loops (D, anti-codon, and T loops). Lineage: Bacteria; Bacillati; Bacillota; Clostridia; Lachnospirales; Lachnospiraceae. The record is from RNAcentral.